This 767-nucleotide ribosomal RNA is filed under the name Allomyces moniliformis. RNAcentral's name for it is "eukaryotic LSU rRNA". It matches the Rfam family "Eukaryotic large subunit ribosomal RNA", at positions 64 to 762 of the family's 3401-position model. Lineage: Eukaryota; Fungi; Blastocladiomycota; Blastocladiomycetes; Blastocladiales; Blastocladiaceae. The record is from RNAcentral.
ACUAACAGGAUUCCCCGAGUAAUGGCGAAUGAAACGGGAAAAGCCCAAAUUUGAAAUCUCCUAGUUCACACUAGGCGAGUUGUAAUUUGUAGAAGGUCUCCAUCUGAACUGUGUUUGCYMAAGUCCAUUGGAACAUGGCGGGCCUUCGGGCCCUCAAGUCACAGAGGGUGAAAACCCCGUUCUUGGCAUUCUACUAGUUCUCUUGUAUGGUUCCUUCAAAGAGUCGGAUUGUUUGGGAAUGCAAUCCAAAAGGGGUGGUAAAUUCCAUCCAAGGCUAAAUAUCAGCAAGAGACCGAUAGCGAACAAGUACCGUGAGGGAAAGAUGAAAAGAACUCUGAAGAGAGAGUUCAACAGUACGUGAAAUUGCUGAAAGGGAAACGUUUGAAACGAUUGUUGCCUUUGGUUUCGGCCUUGGGCGAGUCAGCAGCAGUUUUAAGCGGUAAAGAAGCGCUUACAGAAGGUAGUUUUCUUCGGGAAAUGUUAUAGCUGUAAGYGGCUGUGCCGCCUAGGACUGAGGAUCGCUUUUGGGUGCCGCGUCGAGGGAUUUUGGGCGACUAGCGCCAAGGCCUUGGGUUCUUCUCAAGACUUGGUGCUAGCCGUUCAGGACGACCNACCACGCGGCCCCAGAAUAGGUUGCUGACAAAAUGGUUUUAAACGACCCGUCUUGAAACACGGACCAAGGAGUGCAACAAACUUGCMAGUCGUAGGGUGACAAACCUGAAGGCGCAAUGAAAAGUGAAAAAAAUACCMCCCGGCAAAACGGAACU